CAUCCUUACUUGGGCAUUGAGUCAUCUCAUCCUGGCUAUCCUGCCUUCAUGUCCCCUUCAUCUCCCAUUAGCAGGCCUCCUUGUGCCACACUCUUGACAUGUAUCUUCUUCUGCCUUCAGGAUCUUCUGCCUGGAAAGCUCCUGUCAGACAUCAGAGAGAGCCAACAUUUGAGAUGAUGACAGACACUCUGGAUGACACGCAUCAGAAGCAUUGCUAUUUUUCAGAAAAGGAGAUUUGGGGAUUAUUUGUUACUGCAGUAUAUCCAGACAUUUCUGAGUCAAUACAGAAACGUAGCCAUUUAUUUUUAAACUUUCACAAUAUGAACUGACAACAAUAUAUCAAUUCAUUUUCCAA
Non-coding RNA from Macaca mulatta (Rhesus monkey), 355 nucleotides. The record is from RefSeq and is a predicted model, not a curated record. Lineage: Eukaryota; Metazoa; Chordata; Mammalia; Primates; Cercopithecidae.